Molecule: long non-coding RNA, 991 nt
Organism: Metopolophium dirhodum (rose-grain aphid)
Lineage: Eukaryota; Metazoa; Arthropoda; Insecta; Hemiptera; Aphididae
Exons: 3
Source: RefSeq, a predicted model, not a curated record
CUCAAUUAUUGGCAAACCUAUAAUACAUACUUUUUUGGGUAUACCUACCUCUGGCGUAGUUAUAAUGACCAUAUUAUAUGCGAUAGUGUAUUUCACGGCGACGGUCAGUUAAUUGGUCAUUCAGUGAAGAUAAAUCACCGGUCAAAAACCAUUGACGGUUCAAUCGGGUAUACCGCUAGAGCGCCAUAGAUUUCUAUUUAAUCGUAUCUGGUGAAACGUACAAACAUUGAAUAUAAAAAAGAAAUACAUCAGGGGUUCCCAAUGGCGCGGCAUCUUAUUUAAACCAACAUUUGGUGCCCUUCCACAAGUCAUAUCAAAAUGUUCAAUAUUUAUAGCUAAGGACUGAAAACUUACAACAAGGUUCCACUUAUUUUAUGUUCAAAUUUUAACAUAAACCGUCAACCACAGAGCCUUGUCUGAAAAUGUCCGUCAACAGUUCAAAACAAGUCAAAAUAUUUUGAAUAUUUUAUGGUCUAUAGCAAAUGCUAAUAUAAAUGUUUAGAAAAAUUGCAUGUAUCUAUGUUGGUCAUUUAUACUAGCGUUACGCCAAAAAACCGAUUUUGCGUAAAAAUGUCCGUUUUUCUUAAUUUUUAUGUUGUUUUUUCCCGGUGCUUUAGAAAAUUAUGGGAAAUUUUAAAUGUUGACCUCCCAAAUGCACCAACUAGAUUCUCUUUCCCAUCGAACAAGAUACUGUUGAAGAAAAUCGAAGAAGUUGCACUAACCCAAACGGCGGUGACAGACACACACACAAAAAAAACACACAUCAUUGUAAAAUCAAUACAUUUAUCACUCCGCUCAGAACUUAAUAAUAUGUUAAUAUUGAGACGGUUUUUUAUAAUUUUAUAAUUUUAUAUUUUCAAAUUAUAAUACACUAAAUUAUCGUUCACUAAAAUAAACGAUAUUUUAUAAUGGUUAUUUGUAUAUAUUCAGUUGUAUUUGUAGUAUGAUGUGGAUUUGAGAGGAGAUGCUUGAUUCAUAUUUAAAAAAUAUA